GACGGACGCUGGCGGCGUGCUUAACACAUGCAAGUCGAACGGAAAGGCCCUGCUUUUGUGGGGUGCUCGAGUGGCGAACGGGUGAGUAACACGUGAGUAACCUGCCCUUGACUUUGGGAUAACUUCAGGAAACUGGGGCUAAUACCGGAUAGGAGCUCCUGCUGCAUGGUGGGGGUUGGAAAGUUUCGGCGGUUGGGGAUGGACUCGCGGCUUAUCAGCUUGUUGGUGGGGUAGUGGCUUACCAAGGCUUUGACGGGUAGCCGGCCUGAGAGGGUGACCGGCCACAUUGGGACUGAGAUACGGCCGAGACUCCUACGGGAGGCAGCAGUGGGGAAUAUUGCACAAUGGGCGGAAGCCUGAUGCAGCAACGCCGCGUGCGGGAUGACGGCCUUCGGGUUGUAAACCGCUUUCGCCUGUGACGAAGCGUGAGUGACGGUAAUGGGUAAAGAAGCACCGGCUAACUACGUG
Molecule: ribosomal RNA, 468 nt
Filed under: uncultured bacterium
Lineage: Bacteria
Description: partial 16S ribosomal RNA
Rfam family: Bacterial small subunit ribosomal RNA
Source: RNAcentral